UCCCUACUGGCUCAGAGGAUAAAGCGUCUGCCUGCAAAGCAGGAGACCCGGGUUUGAUCCCUGGAUUGGGAA
This 72-nucleotide transfer RNA is filed under the name Ovis aries (sheep). It matches the Rfam family "tRNA". Rfam says of the family: Transfer RNA (tRNA) molecules are approximately 80 nucleotides in length. Their secondary structure includes four short double-helical elements and three loops (D, anti-codon, and T loops). Lineage: Eukaryota; Metazoa; Chordata; Mammalia; Artiodactyla; Bovidae. The record is from Rfam by way of RNAcentral.